UCCUCGUUAGUAUAGUGGUCAGUAUCCCCGCCUGUCACGCGGGAUGUCAGGGUUCGAUUCCCCGACGGAGAG
This 72-nucleotide transfer RNA is filed under the name Sarcophilus harrisii (Tasmanian devil). It matches the Rfam family "tRNA". From Rfam's summary of the family: Transfer RNA (tRNA) molecules are approximately 80 nucleotides in length. Lineage: Eukaryota; Metazoa; Chordata; Mammalia; Dasyuromorphia; Dasyuridae. The record is from Rfam by way of RNAcentral.